Molecule: unclassified non-coding RNA, 344 nt
Filed under: Hevea brasiliensis (rubber tree)
Lineage: Eukaryota; Viridiplantae; Streptophyta; Magnoliopsida; Malpighiales; Euphorbiaceae
Source: RNAcentral
UACACCCCCUGAGGAGUUUAAGUGCCCCAUAUCUAUGAGAUUGAUGUAUGAUCCUGUUGUCAUUGCUUCUGGACAAACAUUUGAAAGGAUGUGGAUACAAAAGUGGUUUGAUGAUGGUAAUAACGCGAUGAUGGUAAUGAUACAUGUCCAAAAACAAAAGUAAAAUUGGCCCAUCGUUCAUUUAUUCCAAACACAGCCAUGAAAGACUUGAUAUCAAAGUGGUGUGAAAAGUACGGAGUCACCAUUCCUGAUCCAAGUAUGAAAGCAUUUCACUUAUUGGACAUAUCUUCUACAUCCAUUGCUAGCUUAGGCAGUUCUAUGAAUGAUCUACACCUUCCACUGGA